RNAcentral lists this small RNA (68 nucleotides) under Flavobacterium terrigena. Its description in RNAcentral is "Flavo-1 RNA". It matches the Rfam family "Flavo-1 RNA". Lineage: Bacteria; Pseudomonadati; Bacteroidota; Flavobacteriia; Flavobacteriales; Flavobacteriaceae. The record is from RNAcentral.
UUUUAGCCCCGAUAGGAAUGAUAUCCUCCAAUUUUUCAUUGGAGAUUUAAUGGAUAGCGGGACAAUUG